RNAcentral lists this ribosomal RNA (403 nucleotides) under Verrucomicrobiota bacterium. RNAcentral describes it as "Verrucomicrobia bacterium partial 16S ribosomal RNA". It matches the Rfam family "Bacterial small subunit ribosomal RNA", at positions 355 to 776 of the family's 1533-position model. The record is from RNAcentral. Lineage: Bacteria; Pseudomonadati; Verrucomicrobiota.
UGGGGAAUAUUGCACAAUGGGGGAAACCCUGAUGCAGCGACGCCGCGUGAGCGAAGAAGGUUUUCGAAUCGUAAAGCUCUGUCCUAUGAGAAGAUAAUGACGGUAUCAUAGGAGGAAGCCCCGGCUAAAUACGUGCCAGCAGCCGCGGUAAUACGUAUGGGGCGAGCGUCGUCCGGAAUUAUUGGGCGUAAAGGGUACGUAGGCGGUCUAUUAAGUCAGGUGUGAAAGCGUGAGGCUUAACCUCAUUAAGCACUUGAAACUGAUAGACUUGAAUGAAGGGGAGGAAAGGGGAUUUCCUGGUUUAGCGGUGAAAUGCUUAGUAAUUAGGAGGAAUACCGGUGGCGAAGGCGACUUUCUGGACUUUUACUGACGCUCAGGUAGGAAAGCGUGGGGAGCAAACAGG